UACGUAGGGUGCGAGCGUUAAUCGGAAUUACUGGGCGUAAAGCGUGCGCAGGCGGUUCGUUAAGUCAGAUGUGAAAGCCCCGGGCUCAACCUGGGAACUGCAUUUGAAACUGGCGGGCUUGAGUGUGGCAGAGGGGGGUGGAAUUCCGCGUGUAGCAGUGAAAUGCGUAGAGAUGCGGAGAAACACCGAUGGCGAAGGCAGCCCCCUGGGCCAACACUGACGCUCAGGCACGAAAGCGUGGGGAGCAAACAGG
RNAcentral lists this ribosomal RNA (253 nucleotides) under uncultured bacterium. RNAcentral's name for it is "partial 16S ribosomal RNA". It matches the Rfam family "Bacterial small subunit ribosomal RNA", at positions 524 to 776 of the family's 1533-position model. The record is from RNAcentral.